RNAcentral lists this long non-coding RNA (333 nucleotides) under Trifolium pratense (red clover). Its description in RNAcentral is "long non-coding RNA (TPRA_LNC007895)". Lineage: Eukaryota; Viridiplantae; Streptophyta; Magnoliopsida; Fabales; Fabaceae. The record is from RNAcentral.
CUACCCGCAAACGAAGUAAUAGACAAAAUAGAUGCUACUUUUGCUCUUGCUUAUGAGAGAAGUCCCUCAUAUAAUUUCAUAUAUCCUUCGCCUUCGAAUGUUGUCUAUUCCAAAUCUAUUGGUCAUUUAGUACUGAAGAAAAAUGGAAAUUCCAACACAGAGGAUAAAUUUAAAGCAAGGAUGAUAAUAUCCAUUUUAGAAGCGGUACGGAAAUUCUUAAGUUAGGGGAAAACCGUUACAAAGAGAGUUAUUUUACCAUUUGUCGAACGAGUUCGAUAAACAAGCUAUAUUAGAUAAUAGGCUACAUGACAUUGCUAUCAUGUUGAAUUGUAG